Molecule: long non-coding RNA, 137 nt
Organism: Etheostoma spectabile (orangethroat darter)
Lineage: Eukaryota; Metazoa; Chordata; Actinopteri; Perciformes; Percidae
Exons: 3
Source: RefSeq, a predicted model, not a curated record
UUGCCUUGGACUACUGAAGUUGUAGAAACAAACAGCUGGAUGAUGUGAUCCUUACCUAGCUACUGCAAAUGUGCGCCUCCAAAUAAAGAUGGUAAAGAAGUGAGAUGUCUCACUCUGUGGCUAAAACAGAGACUGAG